GUACUAUUCAUGAUUCACACUUCUACUCAUUAUCCUGUUUCUGGUGUAUUCAUUUUAGUCUAUUAAAAUAAUUUUUUCUAACAGUCCAGUGCUCCUCAACAGAGGCAGUCUCAGAUGGUGAUUAAGACCAACUCCAGACACUGCAUACCAGAUCAGAGUUCAACAGGUGAAUUGUCCAGUAUUGACUUGACAGGAGAGGAAACAGCCUUAACUUCACUCUCACUUUGGCCACUACAGAUGGAAUAGCUCCAGGCCAAAGCUACGGACUUGAAAUUCAAUUUGGGCCUCCCACGUGGGUGAAAGAGAUGCUGGAACUUGAGCCUUCAUUUACUGAGUACCAGGGUAUGUAUUAGCAGAAACCUGGAUUGGAAGCAAAAUGGUAAGUAUUCGAACCGGGCACUCAGAUAUGGGAUGUUGCCAUCAUGCAGCAGCUAAACUACUGCACUAAAUGCAUACCCCACUAUUGUCUUAUCAAUAUUCACAUCUCUUCUUUAUACUUGCCACAGUUCUGACUCUGGGUAUAUUUCAGGCGUGGAUCUUUGUGGUGAGUGCGUACAACAAUAACUUGUCCCUGACUUGAAUGAGAAUGCAUGCGAUAUCUAAUAUUCAACCAUGUUUGCUUCAAUUUUAAGGAAAGAAAAUUCAAUUUUUCUUCAUAUAUAUUUGAGAGACAGAUAAGGAGACAGAGAGCUCCCACCUUCUGGUUGGUUUCCCAAAUUCCUGCAAGAGUCAGGGCCCAGGGUCUGGAAACUUAAGUCUCCCAGAUGAGUGGCAGGAAUUCAGUGAUUUGAGCCAUCGCUUUUGCCUGCCAGUGUCUGCAUUAGCAGGAAGUUGGAGUUA
This is a non-coding RNA of Oryctolagus cuniculus (rabbit), 840 nucleotides long. The record is from RefSeq and is a predicted model, not a curated record. Lineage: Eukaryota; Metazoa; Chordata; Mammalia; Lagomorpha; Leporidae.